This 229-nucleotide ribosomal RNA is filed under the name Penicillium coprophilum. RNAcentral's name for it is "partial 28S ribosomal RNA". It matches the Rfam family "Eukaryotic large subunit ribosomal RNA", at positions 1 to 226 of the family's 3401-position model. Lineage: Eukaryota; Fungi; Ascomycota; Eurotiomycetes; Eurotiales; Aspergillaceae. RNAcentral also lists the same sequence under 4 other names. The record is from RNAcentral.
GGUUGACCUCGGAUCAGGUAGGGAUACCCGCUGAACUUAAGCAUAUCAAUAAGCGGAGGAAAAGAAACCAACAGGGAUUGCCCCAGUAACGGCGAGUGAAGCGGCAAGAGCUCAAAUUUGAAAGCUGGCUCCUUCGGGGUCCGCAUUGUAAUUUGUAGAGGAUGCUUCGGGAGCGGUCCCCAUCUAAGUGCCCUGGAACGGGACGUCAUAGAGGGUGAGAAUCCCGUAU